AUCAUUAGCAUUUUCCCCGUUUGUGUAAACAGAUGGCCAGGAUUAGCAUGAAGUGGUCAAACAUUUGCCUUUCAUUGGUGAAUUUAAGAACAGAUGUCCAGCCCUCUUUAAUGAGGUGUCUGUGGAAUUCAGUACAAAUACAACGGUCCCUUUGGUGGCCAAAUUCAUGAGUCAACUCGAUCAUUUCUCAACUCAGCUCAUCAGUGUUUUCAGAAAGAAAUGAGGAGCAGCAGGACAGAAGAUCAACAACAUCCUGUCAGUUAUGGAUCAGGAUGUUGAACAUGAUGAAGCCCAAACCUCGAUGCAUAACACCACCCUAGGAAGCUACGUCAUCAAACCUGAAGGGGCACAUGCCACAGACCCUUACCAAGAUGUUGGCAUCAUAUUUGAAGGCAUCAAAAUACUUGAAAACCUAAACAAUGUUGCCGAAGCGUGUUCUAUGAUGCUUGGUCUAAUUUAUGCAUUAAACUUGGCCUAUACACAAGACUUCAGAUACACAUUUGAAACAUUUUAAAAGCUUUUUAUGGAGCUAAAUGCCAACAAUCUGUCAAACAAGGUCCAUGUCCUGAAAAAUAAACUUCUUUUGUAAGUAUUUACUCGAGGUAAUGUUCAAGAGGUGGUACUUAUGUUUCCUCAAUGAUGUUACACUGUUGGCUUGUUACAGCACAUUUGUUCCAGGACUGACCAUGUUACACUUUUUUUCAUUAUCGAUCUCGUUUUAAAUAAAUGCUUUAUUUUUUCACAAUUUAAAGGAGGCACAGAUUGCAAGAGAGACUUUUCACCCACAUAAUUUCAUUUAUAGGCAAUGCUUUUAUUUUUUUUUUUUUUGUAUUUUCCAGUCUGCUUUUAAUAAUAAUAAAACAGAAAGCAGUUUUAAAGAUACAGAUUUUGAACAAAUAAUUUUCGUUGGACAUUUGUAAAAGGUAUGUUCUUGAAUACAUUAAGUACUCUGUUUGGUUGCAAUGCAAAUGUAGGUUAAGUAAAGAACCAUGUUUGAGUAAAUAACUUUACUCGGAAAACACUGUCUGUAAAGACCAGUGUUGUAUAAAGUACUAGAAAGCAAUACUUGUGUAAAA
Molecule: long non-coding RNA, 1076 nt
Organism: Tachysurus fulvidraco (yellow catfish)
Lineage: Eukaryota; Metazoa; Chordata; Actinopteri; Siluriformes; Bagridae
Exons: 3
Source: RefSeq, a predicted model, not a curated record